CCGUGAAACUGAAGAACGGUAAUUAUGAAUGUCGCAUGUACGGACAGGAGUUACUCAAAGCAUUUAGAUAAUCCCGGAGAUUUGAUAAGGGAAACAAAACACUGAGUAAAAACUUUCAUUCUUCCUUAUCUGUUCCCGUUUCGUCGUCAUUUUUUAACUCGUCGAAAUAAACGGGGAAUAAGAUGAGUAUGACGAGAAGAACUCGACUAGAACUCAAGCAGACGUUUGGGCCGGAAGUACAGCUCGUGUUCUGGACAUUAACCUUAACCAUGAUGUCCAAAAUGUUGACCGCAGAUAAC
Limulus polyphemus (Atlantic horseshoe crab) is the source of this 299-nucleotide long non-coding RNA. RefSeq lists it as uncharacterized. The record is from RefSeq and is a predicted model, not a curated record. The transcript is spliced from 5 exons. Lineage: Eukaryota; Metazoa; Arthropoda; Merostomata; Xiphosura; Limulidae.